GGGGCUGCACUGGUUUCGACGUGGGUUCGGAAUCGCAGCGGGGCAUGUCGAGCUGAAUGCGCUCGUAAAACAGAUUCAAACAAACUAACUGCAAACGACGAACGUUUCGCACUCGCCGCUUAAUUGCCGGUGAGCUUUGCAACAGCACGCCGAUGGGCUGGGCAAGGGGGCAAGGAGCAAUCCGCGCCUCCCGGCUGCAAAGAUAAUCUACAUCGGCUGGCCUCGAUCCGGGUACCUUGGGUCGAGGCGAGAUCCAAGGGUACUGGCGGCCGGUGUAGCGUGCGACUGCGCGACACCGGUGGCGAGACUCAAAACAGAUCGCUAAACAUGUAGAUCUGCGCGAAGAAGGCUUGCGGACGGGGGUUCAAAUCCCCCCAGCUCCACCA
Variovorax sp. WDL1 is the source of this 386-nucleotide non-coding RNA. The record is from Rfam. NCBI's taxonomy places the organism in Bacteria, Pseudomonadati, Pseudomonadota, Betaproteobacteria, Burkholderiales, Comamonadaceae.